CAGUGCCUCCCAGUAUGUUCUGCUGCUCCCCAGGUGCCCCAGUUCCUUGUCCCAGUGCUCCCAGUAUGGCCCAGUUACCCAUCUUAGCACACCCAGUAACGCCAGUUUCCUCUCCCAGAGCUCCCAGUAUGCCCAGUUCCCUGUCUGAGUGCUCCCAGUAUGCCCAGUUACCCAUCUCAGCACACCCAGUAACCCCAGUUCCCUCUCCCAGUGCUCCCAGUAUGGCCCAGUUCGCCCCAGUGGGUGCGAUGUGCGCUGAUUUUUCUGCGCCCAGUACAACCCAGUACAUCCCAGUCACUACCCAGUCGGUCCCAGCGCCCUCCCAGUCUGUCCCAGUAUCUCCCAGUAUCCUCCCAGUCCUCCCAGUUCCCCAGUCCUCCAGAGGCCCCUGUGGAGGCCGGAAGUGCCGCUCUGGCCGAACUCGUCUCUCCCCACGGAAAGGAAGUGACGUAGGAGGGAGGGGGCAACAUUGA
RNAcentral lists this long non-coding RNA (473 nucleotides) under Anas platyrhynchos platyrhynchos (common mallard). Its description in RNAcentral is "lncRNA (ENSAPLG00000023266.1)". The record is from RNAcentral. Lineage: Eukaryota; Metazoa; Chordata; Aves; Anseriformes; Anatidae.